AACAUCAUCUCUUCAUACAUAUGCUUGUUCUAGAGUUUAAGUGAACAGUUGUGUACAACAAAUGUUCUUGUCUUCCUUUAGUAUUAUUUCAAAUCAUUUGAUAUGUAAGUACAAUAUUAGGUAAUAAUUUAUAUCAUUUUGGAAAUGUGCUAUCUUUCCAACUAGACUUGAAAAUAUUGGUAAAAUCUUUAUUAAGGGCCUGCAUGUUUUUGGAACUCAAUAAAUGUUACUUCUGUUUCCUGCUUUAAAGAUUUUAUAUCAUGCUAAUGUUAGGAGGCCAUAGCAAAAAUAC
Molecule: long non-coding RNA, 292 nt
Filed under: Homo sapiens (human)
Lineage: Eukaryota; Metazoa; Chordata; Mammalia; Primates; Hominidae
Description: LHRI_LNC1066.1
Source: RNAcentral